Molecule: long non-coding RNA, 962 nt
Organism: Oreochromis aureus
Lineage: Eukaryota; Metazoa; Chordata; Actinopteri; Cichliformes; Cichlidae
Exons: 3
Source: RefSeq, a predicted model, not a curated record
GGAAAAGGCCCACAGCAAAAGUUUGGACACCUUGUAGUUGACCGUGGGGCCCAAACUGCAUGCCAGUGAAACUCUACUUUGGCAGCCGAGCACUUCAUGUUAUCUGUGGACCAGGCCAUUGUGAAUGGCCAUAUCACUAUCUUCAGCGACGCACUUAUCCUGAUGUUUGGCUCUUACUACUGCACAAACAUUUCUUAUCCAGUAGCCCAGGCAGCAACCUUGGAAUUCUUGCAACGAUGCCUUAAGAUAAACCCCGACAAGGGAUCCAAAGUGGAGUGGAACACGUCUAAGAAAAACCUUGCAGUCAAUCCAAAGGUUCUGACGUUGAUCGCCAAAAUUGCGGACUAUGAGUGGAGAGCAUAAAAAGUUCUUAUUUUUAUCCUGAGGAUAACAUAAUCUGCUGUUCAGUAGCACUGGUCUCCGGUUCAUGGUCAAUGUCAACAGCACGGGUGGCCUGCUUGAUAGGGGAAAAGUGAAAUAUAGGCUGCAAAUCCUAUUCGCAUUUAGCUAGCAUUAGUGCUAGCCAGUUGGUAUGUUACUGUCUGCUGACAGGCUCUCUGUCACUCUGUCCUGCUUUAGGUGUAGCAUUGUCUUAACUUGUGGUGCUUGCUCUGCAAACACAGUCCCAUUUGUUCAGUUAUUUUGGUAAAAGUUUGUGUUAAAGUGACAACUUACAACAUAUCAAUACUUAUCAGUUAAGUAUAAUCAGCAUAACAAUGAGGCUUUUGUUUUACUCGAGUUGUUCUUUGCAUAUGAUUACUUUGCAAAUUUCUCCAAGGGAACCCAAAUGGCCAGCAGCAGCCCUGAAUGUGAGACUUUCAGAAAGCUAGAGCUACUUCUAAACCUGCAGGUUAUGUGCCUCAAAUAUACCCCUUUUCGUUGCUCCAGAUGUGGGGAGGCAGAUGAACGUUCGAGGUGGCAUCGUCCCCUUCUUUUGUGCUCAAAUGUGCGUUUGCAUUACA